Solea senegalensis (Senegalese sole) is the source of this 2489-nucleotide long non-coding RNA. RefSeq lists it as uncharacterized. Lineage: Eukaryota; Metazoa; Chordata; Actinopteri; Pleuronectiformes; Soleidae. The transcript is spliced from 2 exons. The record is from RefSeq and is a predicted model, not a curated record.
UAAAGUCAUAAUUAUGAUUGAUGCAUUAUCGCAGACGAUCAGCUGCAACCUGUGUCAAGAUGAGAAUAUUACGACUUUUAAUAUAUUACGACUUUAUUUUUGAAGUAUUACAUAUUUUUUUCUCUUUAGUUUGGCCCUAGUACUCGUAAAUCACAUGCGUCACACAGAGAUGAAAAUAUCUAAAUUCUUUGUAAUUCAGCAAACACUUUUAACACAGCUUUUGAUACUUUUUUAUGUUUUGAUUGAUUGAGCCACUCUCACAGCGUUCCCACAAAGCACAGAACUGAGAGCGUUUUGUGAAACUAUUAAUUUUUAAAAAUGUUAACAGAUGUUGCAUUAGAAGGAAAUACAUUUUGUUUUGGAGCGCCAUAGAAUAAGAGACAUGAUAAAAUGGGUAAAUCAAGCCAUGCUGGAGUUUCAAAUAAGGAUUUUUCCCCCCACUGCUGCAUAAUUACCAUCUUAAAAUUUCCUUUUAUUAUUACAUGUCCUUAUAGAUCACAUUUAUUAAUUAAGUCUUAUUUGAGACACAUUUCUUGAUACCAUGACUAGGUUUUAAAUCACAUACUGUAUUUAAAUACAUGAGCAACGCAGAGGGACCAUUACACUGUUUUCAUUUGAGAAAGAGGGAGCAACUAGUUAAGUGAGCAGCUGUGACGUCAUCUCACGUCCCAAAUGUAUGCUGAGCUGAAUCCAGCCAGACACAGACCUACCAAGAGGAAAACAGAGCGGGCUGCAUGGAGGAAUAUGGUGCAUUUACUGAGCAUCUUUGCAGACAAGAGAGCAACAGAGAGACACUGCACAGAUCAGGCAUUAGUUAUAUUAACUGACAUCAAGCUUGAAGAGCGAUAACACAACAUGGGAAGUUAAAGGCUUGUUUGAUGAUCUUACACACAGCCUAAACUGAGUCUAAAGUGCUGCAGCUGCACAUUGUCAGAGGAGCGAGUCACCAGAUGUGUUGUCUCCUGCAGUGAAAGAAGAUUUUCCUCUGCCUGAAAGCUCUCUCGUCUCUGACAUUUUUUUUUUUGCAGCAGCAACUUCCAUAAAUAUUUACAUGCCUUGUCUCGUGGCUGUGAGAAAUGGAGAACACCUAAUGACUCCUUAUAUGACCCUUUAACUCAUGGUUUGCCUCAUCGGGCCCUACAGGCAGAACUGGAUGCUGAGGACUGUUGUGGUGCUUUUGGUUACUUUACAACAGGACAGAACUUGAUCCAGAGACACACUCUUUGUUGUACAGUACCGUGCGCUGCACCUCCCUUUUCCCUGCAAGAGGAAUAUUAUAAUUAUAGCAGAAGAAAAUGAUAAACACAUCCUGCAUAUGAACACUCAGUCACAGGAAUAUGCAUGGACUUAGCUCUGUGUUCUGUACGAUAAAUAUCCUCUAUUCAUGAUGAUAAUCAACAUCAUGUUUUAUUGAACUUGCUGUUAAAAAAGUGCUUUAUGAAAGUGUAAUAGUAAUGAUGAUAAUAGUAACGUAAGCAAAUACAACGAUAAAACCCAACACAGGGUGGAAUAAAAUAGGAAAAGUCGAUAGGUUGAAACCUUGUUUUAACUUUAAAAUAAUUAAACUGAAAACGCAAAUAAAACAACACAGGGUGGAAUAAAAAGAAGCUAGUCAGAGGCUAGAGUAAUAUCUAAUAUCCCUGAUAUCUAAGGGGAGUGUGUGCCACAGUUUAGGGGCGUAACAAAGGCAGCCUCCCCAAUUUUCUUUUGACUGUUGUGGGGAACUUCCAAUAACCCAACAGUGGACGAGCAGUAACGUUAAUGUUAUGAUCAUAACUCAGCUUUUUCCUUUUUAUUUCGAUAUAGGUGGCAAAUAGAUGCAGCUACUGGUAGUGCUCAUGUUUUUAACAGUGUUUAAAUAGAAACAACUGCUAUGUACUGUGAUAUUCUACACUAUAUUACACAUAAUAUAAGCUUAUUAUUAAAGAUACUUAAAGAUAAAGAUUUUCAGUGACAUCAUGUUGUUGUGACCUGCCCUCACGUACUAAAUGCUACCUAUCGUAAGAAAUAACUUAAAUGUGUAGUGUGUAGAGUAACUGUGGAUUGUGUUUCUGUAUAAUCUGUCCCCUGACCUGUGUGCACACACACACACAUUAUGGGCUGUGUUGUGUGUUCUCAACUGGUGGACAUGUGGACUGUGAGAGCGGGCAGGACGGAGCGCAGGGCCAUGGAGAUCACGCUGCAGGGAGGAGGAUACCACAGAGUGACGGGUCUCCACUACAUGUCGUCCUUCUCCGACGCCGAGGACUGCUGUGACGACACCAGCUCGGGCAGCUCUCUCACCUUAGACUGGCAAACUCAAGGGACCGAUGUCUGACGCCUGACCGAGAGGUGUUAGCAUCCAAAACAUGGAAAGCAAACAUCAUGACAUGCACAGGACAUGCUGAAUAAAGUGUGUUGAUUGGUGUCAAAGAAAGAGAAGGUGUUGGAACCUGUUGUGCUUGAAACGCCACCGGCAAUAAAAAUCCUUUAAAUGGGAGCUCUAAGGU